UACGUAGGUCCCGAGCGUUGUCCGGAUUUAUUGGGCGUAAGGCGAGCGCAGGUGGUUUAUUAAGUCUGGAGUGAAAGGCAGUGGCUCAACCAUUGUAUGCAUUGGAAACUGGUAGACUUGAGUGCAGGAGAGGAGAGUGGAAUUCCAUGUGUAGCGGUGAAAUGCGUAGAUAUAUGGAGGAACACCGGUGGCGAAAGCGGCUCUCUGGCCUGUAACUGACACUGAGGCUCGAAAGCGUGGGGAGCAAACAGG
RNAcentral lists this ribosomal RNA (252 nucleotides) under uncultured bacterium. RNAcentral describes it as "partial 16S ribosomal RNA". It matches the Rfam family "Bacterial small subunit ribosomal RNA", at positions 524 to 776 of the family's 1533-position model. The record is from RNAcentral.